This is a small RNA of Eubacterium sp. CAG:156, 89 nucleotides long. It matches the Rfam family "GA-cis RNA". Lineage: Bacteria; Bacillati; Bacillota; Clostridia; Eubacteriales; Eubacteriaceae. The record is from Rfam.
AGGAGGAGGAAACAAAAUGAACAAAGUUCAUUUUCUAUAAAUGUUUCCGACGAAUAGCCGCCGACCGAAGGGAGGGGGCAACACAUAUA